CGCCGCUGUCACACUCGCACACACGCGCGCACGCAGAUGGCAACACCGCGUCCCGGAGCCCCUGCGCAGCCCAUUGGCCGGGCGGCGGCGGUAUGCAAAUGAGGCCGCCGGGGCCGCCCACGCCUCAUUGUUGCGUGGAGACCCGGGGGCCGCGCGGCGGGGUGGCGGGGCCGGCGUGGGGAGCUCCCGGGUGCGGGUCGGGGCAGACCCACGCAGGGCCGCCUGCGGGCGGGGGGCUGCAGCAUGGCCACGCGCGGGGAGGGAGGGCGCGCCUCUCCUGCUUCUGGGACUCGGUGCGAAACCUGCUCCUGCUCGCCCGCAGCACGCCUCCCCCAGGCGCAGUUUGGGUGGGGGUCGGUUUUCAGGCAGGGACGCUCCCCAAGUCCGCCUAGAGUGCUCGCUAAGCGCAGGGGUCUCCAAGGAGCUGUGAACCCCGUGCUCCCCACCCCGGAGGAACCACCACGAGUGGGACCCCGCCCCCUCGAGGCUGUGGACAGGAGUGAGCAGAAGCAUUCUUUCUGUGGUGUUGGAGAAGGUGAAGUGAGUGAGCUUAGACCAGCUCAUGCUCUGGCCCCAGCCACCCAAGAAGUCUACAGCAAAGACCAGAGUCCAGUUUCCUUCCUGGGAAACAAAAUAUGAACCAGUGGGCAACCCAGGUGGCUCAGCGGCUUAGCGCUGCCUUCAGCCCAGGGCAUGAUCCUGGAGUCCCGGGAUCGAGUCUCAUGUUGGGCUCCCUACAUGGAGCCUGCUUCUCCCUCUGCCUGUGUCUCUGCCUCUCUCUCUCUCUCUCUCUCUCUCUCUCUCAUUUAGUGUGCUUCUCAUUAAUAAAUAAAUAAAAUCUUUUUAAAAACA
Molecule: long non-coding RNA, 852 nt
Filed under: Vulpes vulpes (red fox)
Lineage: Eukaryota; Metazoa; Chordata; Mammalia; Carnivora; Canidae
Description: lncRNA (ENSVVUG00000005026.1)
Source: RNAcentral